GUUUAACUACCAGAAAACUCUGCACUAUACACUUACAAUCAAAAUAGACGCUUAAAUUACCAGAAGAUUCAGAACUAUAAGUAGAUGUGUAAUCAUCAGAAGACUUCGAAUCAAGAUGCUUGUUUAAUCAAGAGUAUGUGCUACCAAAGUGAUUAUGGUAUAUUGGAAUAAGAGCUGUGAUACGGCACCGAACGACUUAAAGAAGUGGCUUAUUUUAUCAAAUGAAUUAAAUGUUAUUUUUAUGUAUUCGGGUUUAUCCCAUAUUAAAGUUAUCUUU
Molecule: long non-coding RNA, 277 nt
Filed under: Helianthus annuus (common sunflower)
Lineage: Eukaryota; Viridiplantae; Streptophyta; Magnoliopsida; Asterales; Asteraceae
Description: sRNA HanXRQr2_Chr13g0582421
Source: RNAcentral